CAGCCGCCGCGGUAAUACCGGCGGCCCGAGUGGCGGUCACUAUUAUUGGGCUUAAAGCGUCCGUAGCCGGGUUGGGAAGUCCUCCGGGAAAUCUGGCCGCUUAACGGUCAGAAUGCCGGAGGAUACUCCCAGCCUAGGGGGCGGGAGAGGCCGAGGGGAUUCCCGGAGGAGGGGGGAAAUCCUAUAAUCCCGGGAGGACCACCUGUGGCGAAGGCGCUCGGCUGGAACGCGUCCGACGGUGAGGGACGAAGGCCAGGGGAGCAAACCGGAUUAGAUACCCGGGUAGUCCUGGCGGUAAACGAUGCGGACUUUGUGUCGGACAAGCUAUGAGCUUGUCCGGUGCCGGAGGGAAACCGUUAAGUCCGCCGCCUGGGGAGUACGGCCGCAAGGCUGAAACUUAAAGGAAUUGGCGGG
RNAcentral lists this ribosomal RNA (414 nucleotides) under uncultured microorganism. RNAcentral describes it as "bacterial SSU rRNA". It matches the Rfam family "Archaeal small subunit ribosomal RNA", at positions 459 to 872 of the family's 1478-position model. The record is from RNAcentral.